AAACUUUACGAGCUAUCUCUCUCUCUCUCUUUCACACACACACACACACACGCACACACACACACCACAAAAGAAAUUAAAUUUGGACUUUGCAGAAGUUUUUAUCUCGUUUUUGGCAGUGUGCAUCUGAAGGGGAGCAGAAACAAUGGCUGGGAAAGUGAGAAGCAGUGGUGAAGAGAAUCAAAUCUUUCUUAGCUCUUGUUUAAAGUUAAUUAAUUAUGGAGUAAGAUAAGUUACAUUUAAUUUUGGUUGUUUUAAUUUGAAGCUUUGGCGUGGGCUGACAUAGUGGUGGAAGGCACUCUCUUUCUAUUGCAAAACUAUCUAACUGAUAUUUGGAAACUCAGCUUCUUUAAAGCUGCUGCAUUUCUAAAUAUAUGGGGUGGAAUUUAUAGAAUUUUGCCAAUUUUGCUU
RNAcentral lists this long non-coding RNA (411 nucleotides) under Salvia miltiorrhiza (redroot sage). Its description in RNAcentral is "long non-coding RNA (SMIL_LNC012910)". Lineage: Eukaryota; Viridiplantae; Streptophyta; Magnoliopsida; Lamiales; Lamiaceae. The record is from RNAcentral.